RNAcentral lists this ribosomal RNA (631 nucleotides) under uncultured bacterium. Its description in RNAcentral is "partial 16S ribosomal RNA". The stretch from base 3 to 553 matches the Rfam family "Bacterial small subunit ribosomal RNA", at positions 9 to 546 of the family's 1533-position model. The record is from RNAcentral.
UAGAGUUUGAUCAUGGCUCAGGACGAACGCUGGCGGCGUGCCUAAUACAUGCAAGUAGAACGCUGAAGGAGGAGCUUGCUUCUCUGGAUGAGUUGCGAACGGGUGAGUAACGCGUAGGUAACCUGCCUGGUAGCGGGGGAUAACUAUUGGAAACGAUAGCUAAUACCGCAUAAGAGUAGAUGUUGCAUGACAUUUGCUUAAAAGGUGCAAUUGCAUCACUACCAGAUGGACCUGCGUUGUAUUAGCUAGUUGGUGAGGUAACGGCUCACCAAGGCAACGAUACAUAGCCGACCUGAGAGGGUGAUCGGCCACACUGGGACUGAGACACGNCCCAGACUCCUACGGGAGGCAGCAGUAGGGAAUCUUCGGCAAUGGACGGAAGUCUGACCGAGCAACGCCGCGUGAGUNAAGAAGGUUUUCGGAUCGUAAAGCUCUGUUGUAAGAGAAGANCGAGUGUGAGAGUGGAANGUUCACACUGUGACGGUAUCUUACAGAAAGGGACGGCUAACUACGUGCCAGCNGCCGGGGUAAUACGUAGNUCCCAGCGUUGUCCGAUUNUUGGCNNNAACGAGCCNGGGGUUUNANAGUUGAGUNAAGCUGGNCCACCAUAUUCCUUGAACUGUAANUGAGG